AAAGUCGUAACAGGGGUUUCCCGUAGGUGAACCUGCGGAAGGAUCAUUACAAAUAAAGGCUGGCUAGGAAGUCUGGGGUCUUGCAUCAUGCUAAGUUGGUUGAGAGGCCGAAUCAGUCCGGGCCUGGCCCUCCCGGAAAUGUACCUUACAUGUCCCCCACAGCUGAGGCCGAAUUACAACCUGAUUAAUCUACACUGUUCUUUGGGUGCUGUCAAGUGCCCCGAGGACCCAACUCUCUUGCAAUUUAGUGACGUCUGAUGGUACAUUAUAAUAUUUAAAACU
RNAcentral lists this unclassified non-coding RNA (282 nucleotides) under plant metagenome. RNAcentral describes it as "partial contains small subunit ribosomal RNA and internal transcribed spacer 1". The record is from RNAcentral.